UACGUAGGUGGCAAGCGUUAUCCGGAUUUACUGGGUGUAAAGGGAGCGUAGGCGGCGGGGCAAGCCUGAUGUGAAAGCCCGGGGCUCAACCCCGGGACUGCAUUGGGAACUGCCCUGCUGGAGUGCCGGAGGGGCAGGCGGAAUUCCUAGUGUAGCGGUGAAAUGCGUAGAUAUUAGGAGGAACACCAGUGGCGAAGGCGGCCUGCUGGACGGUGACUGACGCUGAGGCUCGAAAGCGUGGGGAGCAAACAGG
This 253-nucleotide ribosomal RNA is filed under the name uncultured bacterium. RNAcentral describes it as "partial 16S ribosomal RNA". It matches the Rfam family "Bacterial small subunit ribosomal RNA", at positions 524 to 776 of the family's 1533-position model. The record is from RNAcentral.